This 375-nucleotide ribosomal RNA is filed under the name uncultured bacterium. Its description in RNAcentral is "bacterial SSU rRNA". It matches the Rfam family "Archaeal small subunit ribosomal RNA", at positions 339 to 714 of the family's 1478-position model. The record is from RNAcentral.
GCGCGAAAACUUUACAAUGCUGGCAACAGCGAUAAGGGAACCUCGAGUGCCAGGUUACAAAUCUGGCUGUCGAGAUGCCUAAAAAGCAUUUCAUAGCAAGGGCCGGGCAAGACCGGUGCCAGCCGCCGCGGUAACACCGGCGGCUCGAGUGGUAACCGUUAUUAUUGGGUCUAAAUGGUCUGUAGCCGGCCGGAUAAGUCUCUUGAGAAAUCUGGCAGCUUAACUGUCAGGCUUUCAGGUGAUACUGUCUGGCUCGAGGCCGAGAUAGGUGAGUGGUACUUCAUGGGUAGUAGUGAAAUCUUGUAAUCCUUGAAGGACCACCAGUGGCGAAGGCGUCUCUCCAGAACGGACCUGACGGCAAGGGACGAAAGCUAG